Molecule: transfer RNA, 76 nt
Filed under: Candidatus Williamhamiltonella defendens
Lineage: Bacteria; Pseudomonadati; Pseudomonadota; Gammaproteobacteria; Enterobacterales; Enterobacteriaceae
Also listed under: 3 other names
Description: tRNA-Ala
Rfam family: tRNA
About the family: Transfer RNA (tRNA) molecules are approximately 80 nucleotides in length. Their secondary structure includes four short double-helical elements and three loops (D, anti-codon, and T loops).
Source: RNAcentral
GGGGCUAUAGCUCAGCUGGUAGAGCGCCUGCCUUGCACGCAGGAGGUCAGCGGUUCGAUCCCGCUUAGCUCCACCA